RNAcentral lists this ribosomal RNA (595 nucleotides) under bacterium HPC1068. Its description in RNAcentral is "bacterial SSU rRNA". It matches the Rfam family "Bacterial small subunit ribosomal RNA", at positions 26 to 616 of the family's 1533-position model. The record is from RNAcentral.
GAGUCGUUGCGCGGUAGGCGUAGGUUUGCACUUCGAGCGGCCGCGUUGGUACCUUGCUCCUUUGCCGGCGAGCGGGGGACGGGUGAGUUAUGUCUGGGAAAGUGCCUGAGGGAGGGGGAUAACUACGGAAAACGGUAGCUAAUACCGCAUAACGUCACAAGACCAGGGAGGGGGACCUUCGGGCCUCUUGCCAUCACAUGUGCCCAUAUGGCAUUAUCUAGUAGGUGGGGUAACGGCUCACCUAGGCCACUAUCCCUAGCUGGUCUGAGAAGAUGACCACCCACACUGAAACUGAGACACGGUCCAUACUCCUACGGGAGGCAGCAGUGGGGAAUAUUGCACAAUGGGCCCAAGCCUGAUGCACCCAUGCCGCGUGUAUGAACAACGCCUUCGGGUUGUCAUGUACUUUCAGCGGGGAGGAAGGUGUUGAGGUUAAUACCCUCAGCUGUUGACGUCACCAGCAGAACAAGCACCGUCUAUCUCCGUGCCCGCGGCCGCACUAAUACGGAAGGUGCUAGCCUUAAUCACAAUUACUGAACAUAAAGCCCACGCGUGCGGUCUGUCCAUCAAAUGUAAAAUCCUCGAACUCCGCCUG